UACGGGCGGGGCGAGCGUUAUUCGGAUUCAUUGGGCGUAAAGGGCGCGUAGGCGGCAGUGUAAGUCAGGGGUGAAAUCUCCACGGCUCAACCGGGAAAUUGCCCUUGAUACUGCGUUGCUUGAGUGCGGUAGAGGCAAGUGGAAUUCUCAGUGUAGCGGUGAAAUGCGUAGAUAUUGGGAGGAACACCAGUGGCGAAGGCGACUUGCUGGGCCGUAACUGACGCUGAGGCGCGAAAGCCAGGGGAGCGAA
RNAcentral lists this ribosomal RNA (250 nucleotides) under uncultured bacterium. RNAcentral's name for it is "partial 16S ribosomal RNA". It matches the Rfam family "Bacterial small subunit ribosomal RNA", at positions 524 to 772 of the family's 1533-position model. The record is from RNAcentral.